Molecule: ribosomal RNA, 301 nt
Filed under: uncultured bacterium
Lineage: Bacteria
Description: partial 16S ribosomal RNA
Rfam family: Bacterial small subunit ribosomal RNA
Source: RNAcentral
CAAUAGCCGCGGGAAUACGGAGGGUGCAAGCGUUAAUCGGAAUUACUGGGCGUAAAGCGCACGCAGGCGGUCUGUCAAGUCAGAUGUGAAAUCCCCGGGCUUAACCUGGGAACUGCAUUUGAAACUGGCAGGCUAGAGUCUUGUAGAGGGGGGUAGAAUUCCAGGUGUAGCGGUGAAAUGCGUAGAGAUCUGGAGGAAUACCGGUGGCGAAGGCGGCCCCCUGGACAAAGACUGACGCUCAGGUGCGAAAGCGUGGGGAGCAAACAGGAUUAGAUACCCCUGUAGUCCCUGUCUCUUAUAC